AGUCGAACGGCAGCACGGGGCAACCUGGUGGCGAGUGGCGAACGGGUGAGUAAAGCAUCGGAACGUACCCUAGAGUGGGGGAUAACUAUCCGAAAGGAUAGCUAAUACCGCAUAUUCUAUGAGUAGGAAAGCGGGGGAUCCUCGGACCUCGCGCUCUAGGAGCGGCCGAUGUCAGAUUAGGUAGUUGGUGGGGUAACGGCCUACCAAGCCGACGAUCUGUAGCGGGUCUGAGAGGAUGAUCCGACACACUGGGACUGAGACACGGACCAGACUCCUACGGGAGGCAGCAGUGGGGAAUUUUGGACAAUGGGGGCAACCCUGAUCCAGCCAUGCCGCGUGAGUGAAGAAGGGCUUCGGGUUGUAGAGCUCUUUCGGCCGGGAAGAAAUCGUGUGGGCUACUACCCUGCAUGGAUGACGGUACCGGAAUAAGAAGCACCGGCUAACUACGUGCCGGCAGCCGCGGUAAUACGUAGGGUGCGAGCGUUAAUCGGAAUCACGGGGCGUAAAGCGUGCGCAGGCGGCUUUUAAGACAGGCGUGAAAUCCCCGGGCUUAACCUGGGAACUGCGCUUGUGACUGGAAGGCUAGAGUACGGCAGAGGGGGGUGGAAUUCCACGUGUAGCAGUGAAAUGCGUAGAGAUGUGGAGGAACACCGAUGGCGAAGGCAGCCCCCUGGGCCGAUACUGACGCUCAUGCACGAAAGCGUGGGGAGCAAACAGGAUUAGAUACCCUGGUAGUCCACGCCCUAAACGAUGUCGACUAGUUGUUGGGUGGGUAAAACCAUUUAGUAACGUAGCUAACGCGUGAAGUUGACCGCCUGGGGAGUACGGCCGCAAGGUUAAAACUCAAAGGAAUUGACGGGGACCCGCACAAGCGGUGGAUGAUGUGGAUUAAUUCGAUGCAACGCGAAAAACCUUACCUACCCUUGACAUGUUCAGAAUCCUGAAGAGAUUUGGGAGUGCCCGAAAGGGAGCUGGAACACAGGUGCUGCAUGGCUGUCGUCAGCUCGUGUCGUGAGAUGUUGGGUUAAGUCCCGCAACGAGCGCAACCCUUGUCGUUAAUUGCCAUCAUUAAGUUGGGCACUUUAACGAGACUGCCGGUGACAAACCGGAGGAAGGUGGGGAUGACGUCAAGUCCUCAUGGCCCUUAUGGGUAGGGCUUCACACGUCAUACAAUGGUCGGUACAGAGGGUUGCCAAGCCGCGAGGUGGAGCCAAUCCCAGAAAGCCGAUCGUAGUCCGGAUUGUAGGCUGCAACUCGCCUGCAUGAAGUCGGAAUCGCUAGUAAUCGCGGAUCAGCAUGUCGCGGUGAAUACGUUCCCGGGUCUUGUACACACCGCCCGUCACACCAUGGG
This 1351-nucleotide ribosomal RNA is filed under the name uncultured bacterium. RNAcentral describes it as "bacterial SSU rRNA". It matches the Rfam family "Bacterial small subunit ribosomal RNA", at positions 60 to 1408 of the family's 1533-position model. The record is from RNAcentral.